CAGGGUGUAGCGCAGCCUGGCAGCGCACCUGUUUUGGGAACAGGAGGCCACAGGUUCGAAUCCUGUCACCCUGA
Molecule: transfer RNA, 74 nt
Filed under: Coccomyxa subellipsoidea C-169
Lineage: Eukaryota; Viridiplantae; Chlorophyta; Trebouxiophyceae; Coccomyxaceae
Description: tRNA-Pro
Rfam family: tRNA
About the family: Transfer RNA (tRNA) molecules are approximately 80 nucleotides in length. Their secondary structure includes four short double-helical elements and three loops (D, anti-codon, and T loops).
Source: RNAcentral